Molecule: long non-coding RNA, 452 nt
Filed under: Vigna radiata
Lineage: Eukaryota; Viridiplantae; Streptophyta; Magnoliopsida; Fabales; Fabaceae
Description: long non-coding RNA (VRAD_LNC006732)
Source: RNAcentral
UUAGUUCACCAUAAUCAUGGUGAAAAUAGAAGAAUUGAAUGGAAAGAAUGUAAAAGAUAACCCUAGAUUUGUAAUAUUGGAGCUAUCGCAUCCAAGAUCCGCCUCCAAGGUUUGAAAAUCGUGUUUUUGCGUCCUUUCUUCCAAAAGAUACAUGCUCUGGUUCGUGCACUUCUAUUUAAAGCACAGAAAAAUAACUGAAAAUAAGCUCAGGCCCAUAAGUACACCGCCCGAUGGUAGGCACUACACCUGAUCCACCCCUCAGCGCUGUCGCUUGAGCGUUCUCUUUAAAUUCCACUGACGAGUCCACCGCCCGGCAGUGGGUUGUACCGCCCGACGGUGGCUGCGGUUCCAUCUUCACCCCUUGGUGGUGCCUUUUAAGUGUGUGGCAGUGUAAUCAUUGAAGGUCUCACCAUCCGGCGGUGCUAUCACUGAGCUGCGGUGGCAGUGGUUCA